GCUAACGGCGACGUCCAUGCUGUGGUAGCUAGCUAUUCCUCAUUUUCCUGCGGAUCAGGCGAGACGUGUCGUACUUAAUAAUAUAAAUCGCGCGUGUUUAAAUAGAUUGACAGUAAAUAAGUGUAUAAACAUGGGCUUGGUUGUUAAUAAUUUACCAAAGAUUCGCGAAGAAUGCGAAGUUCUGCAUUUGACAGACAAGCAGAUCAAGGAGAUCAUGAGCAGACUCCACAAUGACUUGGUCAAAGGACUUGGCAAGGAUACACAUGCCAAUUCCAUUGUUAAGUGCUGGAUCACUUACAUUCAAGAUUUACCCAAUGGAAAAGAACGCGGUAAAUUCCUUGCAUUGGAUCUAGGAGGAACUAAUUUCAGAGUUUUAAUUAUUAAUUUAGGCGCAAACCACUUUGAUAUGCAAUCCAAAAUUUAUGCUAUUCCAAAUCAUAUAAUGACUGGAACAGGCAUUGCAUUAUUUGACCACAUAGCUGAAUGCCUUGCGAAUUUCAUGAAGGAACAUGAUGUUUACGCAGAGAGACUGGCACUUGGUUUCACGUUUAGCUUUCCUCUACAACAACUGGGGCUCACAAAAGGAAUACUGCAGCGGUGGACCAAAGGAUUCUCUUGUUCUGGAGUUGUCGGAGAAGACGUUGUUCAGGGUCUUAAAGACGCCAUUGCCAGACGAGGGGACGUACAGAUUGACAUAUGUGCCAUUCUGAAUGAUACUACGGGUACAUUGAUGUCAUGCGCAUGGAAAAACCACAACUGCAAAAUAGGACUUAUCGUUGGCACUGGCAGCAAUGCUUGUUACGUAGAGAAGACAGAGAACUGUGAACUCUUUGAUGGAGAGCCCGGUAAACCUGAUCUGCUUAUCAACACUGAGUGGGGCGCGUUCGGAGAUGACGGAGCACUGGACUUCGUUCGCACAGAGUUCGACCGCGAAGUCGACAAUAACUCCAUCAACAAAGGAAAACAAAUACAAGAAAAAAUGAUUUCGGGCAUGUACAUGGGAGAAUUAGUGCGUUUAGCAUUAGUGAAGUUCACAAAGAUGGGCUUGCUGUUUGGAGGUCGCGGUUCAGAUCUGCUGUUCCAGAGAGGCAGCUUCUACACCAAAUACGUAUCAGAAAUUGAGUCGGAUAAGCCUGGAGACUUCACGAGUUGCAUGGAGGUGUUGGAAGAACUCGGAUUGUCGCACGCGAGUGAAGCGGACAUGGCUGCGGUUCGCCACGUCUGCGAGUGCGUGUCGCGGCGCGCGGCGCACUUGGUGUCCGCCGGGAUCGCGUGUCUCCUCAACAAAAUGAACGAGCCCCGCGUCACCGUCGGCAUCGACGGCUCCGUCUACCGCUUCCACCCACAUUUCCACACGCUCAUGUGCGAAAAGAUCGCGCAACUCGUCAGGCCGGGCAUACAGUUCGACCUGAUGUUGUCGGAGGACGGCAGCGGGCGCGGUGCUGCGCUGGUGGCGGCCGUGGCGUGCCGUCAGAGCAGUACUGUCGCGUAACUUGGCCUCAUCUCUCCCGCGGUAACACUAAUCUGAGCCUUCGCAUGUAAGCCGCCUAAGCAAUCAAACGAUACCGCACUCAAUAUUUCCUAAUAACAUAGUAGCAAUAUAUUUUUAAAAUUGUUUACACAUAGCUACCUAUCGAUGAUUGUAUGGGUAUUGUUUAAUAUUGUAAUGACACUUUAUCACAGUAAGUGUUAAAUAAUUUAAAAUAGAAAAAUCUUUAUGUGCUGGUUCCUUUAUCAUUAUGCAACUUAGUGAUUGCAAUUAUUAAUCUAAUCCGAUAGCAGUUGAUUUUUAUCUAAUAAGCGACAGCUCGCUUUGAUACAGCCACAACGUCGGUAAGGAAGAAUAAUCGUAAUCACUAAAUUAUAUUACAUUCGGCACUAGUCCAAAUAUACAUAUUACCUAGAUACAUAAAAGAUAAAUGAAUAGCAAAUCUAAGAGCAAGCUGGCGGUUACUUAGCACAUUUGAAUUAUAUUUGUUUAAGUAGUACUUAUUUAUAUACUAUAGAAUGUCGCUGUGUGCUACACUGUAGGUGACGGCUUUCAUGUAUACGCUCUUCUCUGAAAUUUUCGUAAUUUUGUGGCAUAAUCAGACACUAAGAUCCAAUAUCCAACGUGAACUUAAAUUUACUUAAUUGCGGUUUGUUUGUACUUAUAAUGACUUAAAUCUAGUCAAGGUAAAAGGAGUCGAGACCUUUUCAUUAAAUUAUAAAGUCGACAGCUAUGGACACUCGUAAAUUAUAAUGUGUUAUUAUCGGUGUAUAUAACUGGUAUAUCGUUAUGCUGUUUAACACAUGUUGUAAACAAUAAGACUGAUUUAUGAUGAAAUCAUUAUUAUCGACGUAAUAAGUCUACAAAUUUAAAUUUUCUGAUCUUAGUGUUUGGGGUUUACCGCGACGACAAGCAUUUCCUUGCCAGCACACAGUAACAGGCUCAGAAUUCUCUUCAGUGACUUGUGUUAUAUUAGCAAUAAGUAGUUAUAUAUGUAGUACUGUAUAUUUUAUCGGAGAGAAAGCUCUUAUAUCGUUAAGUAGAUAUGUAAUUUUAUAUACUAAUAACAACUGUUGAAAAUAAAUUAGAACGAUGAUAUUAUAAAUUACUCUAUAAAGGAACACUUAAUGCGAAAAACUUCUUCAGAUGUAUUGUUUAUUCCUAAAAAUAUUUUUACAGUGACCACGUCGACUGAUGUAUUUUAGAUAACUGAUGUACAUAAAUAUUUGGUUUUAAUAAGUACUGCGUACCUACAUAAAAGGAUACCUCCCCUUAAGAAUAGCUCUUAUAUCCGUUUUGAGAUCGGCAAUGUUAUACUUUUUAAUUUUCAUCCCGAAGCUGCGAAGUCGGGCGAAUAGAACUUGCGCUUCGGUGCGAAUCUCAUAGUGAUUGCUACAUGCCAAGUACAAUAAACGUAGAGUACCUACCAUCAUUCCACCGAGGAGUUAGUCAUCCAUGAGACAAUAUUAAAUUAUUUUUUGUGGAUAAUAAAAAACAAGAAAUUAAAUAUUAUGUUAAUGAUAAUUUUUAAACAUUUAAACGUAGAACUCUUAUUUGAAUGUGAAUUGAAUCAAUAAAAUAAAAGGAGUAAUUUAAGUGUUUUGAUAUUUUACUGUGAUAGAACUAGGACUAGUUCAAGUUUUUGUUUUGUUUCUGGAAACAUUUUAUCAACGAAAUUAAUUGCAGUUUGCCCACAUUGUUUAGAUAAUAUCUCAUUUGGUUUAUUCAAAUAAUAUCAUCCACGCAAAAAGGCCAUAUGUAAAACCGUGUUAUUGAAAGUGAUUCAUAAAUUAUAAUCGGGUUAAAUUUUCACAGCGUACAUAGUGUACAUAAAUAAGUAAAUUACACCCAAUUAUAGUUCCUAGUUUCAUUAUUAUAUAGGUGCAUUUUAAUUUAUGUAUGCGUUCUGUGUUGUUACAUAUUUGUAUGUGUUGCACGUUGUAACAAUCACUAGUUUGAUUUAUUUAUAAGUAAACAUGGUGGAUUAAGUAUACAGCGUUAGACUUAUUAUUAUUUAGUCGUUACUAAUAAUUAAUUUAAUCUCGUCAUGCUUGUAAAUUUCAGCAACCGUUUAAAUAAAACAUCAAAUGAUGAAAUAGAAAAGUACAAGUAGGUAAAUUUUUAUACAUUUACCAUGUAUCAAAAGGAAAUACAAUAUUAAAUGGUUCAGGUUUGGCAAUGGUCUCUAAUUGUAUGCAAAUGAUUGCUUUGCUCAAACGCAAAAUUUAAAAAUAGGUUUUUUGUAGUUGAAAAUGUUAUGUUUAAUUUUAAUUCGAUCCAUUUAGUUUUGUUCACUUAGAUACAUUAAUUAUUUAUUAUUAGAUAUGGAAACUUUCUGCAUCAAAUAACAAAAAUACAUACCACAUUCCACUUGUAUCUGGAGGGUCUUAAAUGUGUAUUGAUUUUAUUACUACCCGCAGAAAAUGUACAUAUCAAUCAAUUUCAAUAAUCGAAAGAAGGCAUAUUUAUGUUAAGAAUUAAUUAUGUUACCCAAAAUGUAAAUAAUAUAUUUGUCAAAUGUUUUGGUAAGUCAUAUUCGAGUUAUUUUGUUUUAAACUUUAUUAUGAAAGUGUCCACAUGCUUUGUAGAUAAUAAUUGUAAUAAAUCAAUUAUGGUUGAACCGUUUUAAGGUAGUAAUCGAAUUCAUUGUGUACGCUCUUAAGGCUUAGGAGCUAAUAGAAAUGUUAUGAUUUCUGAAAUAAAUUUGUAUAAAACAA
This 4206-nucleotide unclassified non-coding RNA is filed under the name Helicoverpa zea (corn earworm). Its description in RNAcentral is "hexokinase type 2, transcript variant X5". The record is from RNAcentral. Lineage: Eukaryota; Metazoa; Arthropoda; Insecta; Lepidoptera; Noctuidae.